RNAcentral lists this ribosomal RNA (460 nucleotides) under uncultured bacterium. Its description in RNAcentral is "partial 16S ribosomal RNA". It matches the Rfam family "Bacterial small subunit ribosomal RNA", at positions 338 to 795 of the family's 1533-position model. The record is from RNAcentral.
CCUACGGGAGGCAGCAGUGAGGAAUAUUGGUCAAUGGACGAGAGUCUGAACCAGCCAAGUAGCGUGAAGGAUGACUGCCCUAUGGGUUGUAAACUUCUUUUAUAUUGGAAUAAAAUGUUCCACGUGUGGGAUUUUGUAUGUACCAUAUGAAUAAGGAUCGGCUAACUCCGUGCCAGCAGCCGCGGUAAUACGGAGGAUCCGAGCGUUAUCCGGAUUUAUUGGGUUUAAAGGGAGCGUAGGUGGAUUGUUAAGUCAGUUGUGAAAGUUUGCGGCUCAACCGUAAAAUUGCAGUUGAAACUGGCAGUCUUGAGUACAGUAGAGGUGGGCGGAAUUCGUGGUGUAGCGGUGAAAUGCUUAGAUAUCACGAAGAACUCCGAUUGCGAAGGCAGUUCACUGGACUGCAACUGACACUGAGGCUCGAAAGUGUGGGUAUCAAACAGGAUUAGAUACCCGUGUAGUC